Aphis gossypii (cotton aphid) is the source of this 1911-nucleotide long non-coding RNA. RefSeq lists it as uncharacterized. The record is from RefSeq and is a predicted model, not a curated record. The transcript is spliced from 11 exons. NCBI's taxonomy places the organism in Eukaryota, Metazoa, Arthropoda, Insecta, Hemiptera, Aphididae.
AGUUAUUAUAAUUGGAUAAAUUUUAAACGUGUAUUUUAUAUUUGGUCAAAACCAUACAUUUAACGUUACGCUCAACAUGUAUUUAUACAACUGUUAUUGGAUAAGAUAUUUUAUGGAGACAGCCCUACAAGCUGAAACAUCAUUAUAUAUUAUAUUCGUGGUAUUAAACUAUAUCCGUCACGAUAUAUACGAGAAUCGUCGAAUGAUUUCCACCUUCCGUUUCACAUAAUCUAGUACUAAGCGACUGAAUAAGACGUUAGACGAUGAUGCAAAACGCUAUAGUGGUAUUAUGUUUUGAUGACAUAAUAAUAAUAUUAUUAUUGUACGUCUUUGCCAAGCGUUUGUCGACGUGAAUUCUUUCUUAGGACGUAAUACGCGUAAUGUACAUUGUAUAAUACAUUCCACGGACUUCGAACCGACAAACAAAUUAUUAUUACAUCGAUGUAAUAUUGGCGCUGGUCAAUAUGUCAACCUGCCGAUCAUCCGCGAAAUAAUAAAUGGGAUUCAACGGCGGCAUAAGCGCAUAAGCUAGCGGAAGUCUAAAAAUAUUUUUUCCGGCGUACGAAUUCCGAGUCUUAACAUGCCACAAAUAUCCUAUGAAUGCGGAUUACAGUAGACGUGCAGUGUCGAUGACGUAUACAGUGUCAUGCCGUUAUGUCCAAAGGCACUGAAUGAACCGUAAUAGGUAUAUAAUACACAUGGAUACACAGAUAAUGCAACAAAAGUGACGUUUGCGAUGGCUUGCAGUAAGAAAAUUUUUCCAGUAGAAUAUUGACCAACAAAUAACACCGUGAGUUUUUCAUCAAAAUCUUGACCAGUUAACGAAGGCAAAUGAAACUCGUGAACCAAAUAAUUGUUCAAAAGAAAUGUUUUCGAUGUUCAAAGAUAUUUUCAAACAAAUUAAGUCAAGCGCAGCAUACUUGAAUUGCACAUAUUAAAAACAUCUCUCGACUUGAGAAGAAAAAAUCUAAUAGAGAUUAUAAGAUAAAUAUCUGUAUAAAAAUAUAAAAUUAAUAACAUUCCUUAGAAACCUUACUACCGCAGGUGUGUACAAUCUCUGUCUAAAAUAGUUUGCAGUUUUGAAGGGUUAAAAUUUCAUAAGAAAAAUGUUCAUUCAAAACGGACCCUAGGAGGGACGAAUUUUUUCCGUGUCCACAAUUUUUUGGAGUGUCAUGAUUGUAACAAAAAAAUUUUGCCGAAAAAUACUUUAAGAUAUCAUAUAAAAAUUAAACACUUGUUGGACCGAGAUGAUUUUGAAUGUGCAGCUCAUUGUUCAAGGAAAUAUACGCGAAAGAAUGAUAUUUUAAUUAAACACAUAAGUAAACAUAUGAUUCUGAAAGAAAAUGCAAAUUCCACAGUUACAAAUUUUUAAUGUGUUACAAAUUAACAAUUGUUUAAUAAAGGAAUCCUUAUAAAUGAACACCACCAAAAGUACCACAACAUAGAUUUUGUAAUGAUCAUUUAAAAUUCACAAUCCUUUAGUGAAUUUCAAAAAUGGAAAAUUAAAGAAGAACAAAAGUGUUUAAUUCAGUGAAUGUAACCAAUCACGAUUCACGAACAGUGGCUUCAUGUUUUGAAUAUUAACCAUGUACAGCACGAUGAAUCUGAUCGUUUUGAACUGUAUAUUUUAUUCGUUGAGUUGUUACAUUAAACUUGUAAAGUACAAAAACUACCAUUCAUUCAAAAUUGUCAGCAAGGGAAACGUUGAAUUUGAUUGGAGAAUUUGAAAUUCACUCCUCAAAAGGUUUGGUUUAGAAGAGAUAUCCUAAAGUGAAAAUCGUAACGCGAAAUCUUUGAAAGAGUCUGCUAACCAGCUUAAAUGUAUUUACCUGGAAGGUACCGAAUGUAAUAUUGUUGUAUAUACGAUGUAGGUAUACACUAUACAGAAGUGUGUGUCUAUCUAUACCGAUG